GAUGAAGAACGUAGCGAAAUGCGAUAAGUAAUGAAUUGCAGAAUUCAGUGAAUCAUCGAAUCUUUGAACGCACCUUGCGCCCUUUGGCUAUUCCGAAGGGCAUGCCUGUUUGAGUAUCAUGAACACCUCAACUCUCAUGGCUUGCCAUGACGAGCUUGGACUUUGGGGGUCUUGCUGGCCUGUGGUCAGCUCCUCUCAAAUGAAUUAGCUUGCCAGUGUUUGGUGGCAUCACGGGUGUGAUAACUAUCUACGCUUGUGGUCCUCCACCAGGUAACCUUCCAGUGAUGGGGGUUCGCUGGGGCUUAUAAAUGUCUCUCCUCAGUGAGGACAGCUCUUUGAACGUUUGAUCUCAAAUCAGGUAGGACUACCCGCUGAACUUAAGCAUAUCAAUAAGCGGAGGA
Molecule: unclassified non-coding RNA, 401 nt
Filed under: soil metagenome
Description: partial contains 5.8S ribosomal RNA, internal transcribed spacer 2, and large subunit ribosomal RNA
Rfam family: 5.8S ribosomal RNA (bases 1-119)
Source: RNAcentral